AAACAGAUCAGGGAGAGAGUUGGAACACCUGUAAAUAUGGCACCAGAGGUACUCCUAAACAAUGAAUAUGGCGUGUCUACAGAUUUCCCUUUGAAUGACAAGGUCAAGCUAUUAACAUAUGCAAAGCAGGUGUUAAUAGCACCACCACUACCCUGCCUGGCUGAACAGUGAAAUUAGAGACAUCCUGGAUAAGCUUCUAGAUACGGACCCAAGGGUACGCCACCCUUUCUAUAGAGACAUUAACUGGGGAGAUCUAGAGGAGUGUAAAGUGAGCCCUCCAUUCCUUAUAUUCGCAACAUCAGAUUAUGAUACAAGCACAAUGGAGUUAAAUCACUCUUUCAUGAAGGAUAACAUCUCCUCAUGUGAUGACCAUCAUAUCAGUGGCCUGUCUUAUGUGAACUCUGAAUGGCAGGAAUAGAAGCAGAGUGCUCCCUCUUGAAUACCACCAGACAACAGAACAUCUACCAACCAGCAGAUAGCCUCUUCCAACGUCCCUGCUGUGUACCAACAAACAGAGCAUCUUCUGCUGCAUAUUAUCAAACCGCGUGUUCUCUGUUUUCUCCUACAAG
Molecule: long non-coding RNA, 569 nt
Organism: Pelobates fuscus (common spadefoot toad)
Lineage: Eukaryota; Metazoa; Chordata; Amphibia; Anura; Pelobatidae
Exons: 4
Source: RefSeq, a predicted model, not a curated record